UUGUAAGCGACUGCGGAGGACAUU
RNAcentral lists this ribosomal RNA (24 nucleotides) under Amanita exitialis. RNAcentral describes it as "partial 18S ribosomal RNA". The record is from RNAcentral. Lineage: Eukaryota; Fungi; Basidiomycota; Agaricomycetes; Agaricales; Amanitaceae.